Molecule: non-coding RNA, 21 nt
Filed under: Caenorhabditis elegans
Lineage: Eukaryota; Metazoa; Nematoda; Chromadorea; Rhabditida; Rhabditidae
Source: RNAcentral
UGCAAAGAAGAUGAAAACGUU